UAGGGAAUCUUCCACAAUGGACGCAAGUCUGAUGGAGCAACGCGCGUGAGUGAAGAAGGUCUUCGGAUCGUAAAGCUCUGUUGUUGGUGAAGAAGGAUAGAGGCAGUAACUGGUCUUUAUUUGACGGUAAUCAACCAGAAAGUCACGGCUAACUACGUGCCAGCAGCCGCGGUAAUACGUAGGUGGCAAGCGUUGUCCGGAUUUAUUGGGCGUAAAGCGAGCGCAGGCGGAAUGAUAAGUCUGAUGUGAAGGCCCACGGCUCAACCGUGGAACUGCAUCGGAAACUGUCAUUCUUGAGUGCAGAAGAGGAGAGUGGAACUCCAUGUGUAGCGGUGGAAUGCGUAGAUAUAUGGAAGAACACCAGUGGCGAAGGCGGCUCUCUGGUCUGCAACUGACGCUGAGGCUCGAAAGCAUGGGUAGCGAACAGGAUUAGAUACCCUGGUAGUCCAUGCCGUAAACGAUGAGCGCUAGGU
RNAcentral lists this ribosomal RNA (473 nucleotides) under uncultured bacterium. Its description in RNAcentral is "partial 16S ribosomal RNA". It matches the Rfam family "Bacterial small subunit ribosomal RNA", at positions 355 to 821 of the family's 1533-position model. The record is from RNAcentral.